CCUGGUAUGCAGGCGCAUCUUCGGCAACGCAAGUCGAUGUUGUUUGAGUGUUGCGGUUUUCAAACAGUAAUGAGUGUUUUCUGUUUUGAAACAUAGUGAAUUUGUUUGCAGUGAUUGAUGAUGUCGGCGUUGGCACAUAUUAGAUUAGCUAGUGAGCGUGUCGAUAGUACUAUCAGGUCAUAUGAGAGAUCCGUACCUCGUAUAUUGACUCCAGGAGAAAUAAUUACUAGUCAGAGCGGAUGUAUGAGAGGCCAUGGAACAUAUGCAGAAGAUGACAAUCUUAAGGCAUCUGUUGCUGGUGUUGAGGAACGCAUAAUUAAGCUUGUGAGUGUAAGACCACUUAAGAGCCGUUACGUUGGUGAAAUAGGUGACGUGGUGGUUGGAAGAGUAACUGAGGUCCAACAGAAGAGAUGGAAGGUUGAUACUAAUGCCAGACUUGAUUCUAUAUUACUGCUCUCUUCCGUGAAUCUGCCUGGCGGUGAACUCAGGAGACGUUCAGCUGAAGAUGAACAGAAAAUGAGGAAGUACUUACAGGAAGGUGAUCUUAUAAGUGCAGAAGUACUGCAGGUUUAUUCAGAUGGAUCACUGUCUUUGUAUACAAGAAGUCUUAAGUAUGGAAAGUUGUCACAAGGUGUCCUGGUGAAAGUGUUCCCAUCACUCGUAAAGCGUCGAAAAACACACUUUCACAAUUUGACCUGUGGAGCAAGCAUUAUACUUGGAAACAAUGGUUUCAUCUGGCUUUGUCCUACAGCCAGUGCUGAUGAAGAAGGGGGCGGUGGCUUCACACAGAACUUAGAAGAGAAAGUAGACCGUGCUGAUCGAGAAGUGAUAGCGAGGCUGCGAAAUUGUAUUUUGGCCCUGGCAAACAGCAAAAUGAUGCUGUACGACACUAGCAUUCAGUAUGCCUUUGAUGAAUCCAUGAAAUAUAAAGUUGCUGAAUUGUUGCAGCCUGAGCCUAUGAAGGAUGUUGCAGUUCUUACUAGACACAGACUGACUUUGUCUGUGUAAAAGUUACAGUUUAUGUUAACUUUCUGUUAUGGAAGAGCCAUUGCACCAAACAAAAAUAUAUACACACUUGUGAAUGUAUGCUUUCCCGAGAACUCUUCGCCAGAUAUACACACUUGCUUCUGUGAAAUUCUGGUAAGUCCACCAGGCUGUCAGCAGACAUGAUCACACCAAAACAGUUUGAUCAUAGCAAUAUUGUUUCAGUACUCAUGUUAUCAUCCAUAUUUAAUUUUGCAGUUGUUAUAUUUUUUAAAGUUUGUAUGGUGACAGUCCUAAAAAUAAAAUGUAUCUCAUAUAAACAGAAAAAAAUAUUAAGUUAUGUUAAAAUAAAGCAAGUUCGUAGUUAA
Molecule: RNA transcript, 1352 nt
Organism: Schistocerca piceifrons (Central American locust)
Lineage: Eukaryota; Metazoa; Arthropoda; Insecta; Orthoptera; Acrididae
Gene: Rrp4
Gene name: exosome complex component RRP4
Exons: 7
Source: RefSeq, a predicted model, not a curated record